Molecule: transfer RNA, 52 nt
Filed under: Fusarium pseudograminearum CS3220
Lineage: Eukaryota; Fungi; Ascomycota; Sordariomycetes; Hypocreales; Nectriaceae
Also listed under: 2 other names
Description: tRNA-Arg
Source: RNAcentral
UGGGUCAUAGUCCUACGGACUCAGCUUUUUUUCGGAGAAAAAAUCCUGAUCC